CAAACCAUUCCAUGAUUCCAUGACUGAAAACACAGCAACCCCCUUCGCCUGCAGUUUUGCCCCUGAGCCCCCAGCUUUAAUUAAGCUCUAAUUCAGCUGUAAUCCUGAGGGCAGGAGAGCCCCGAGCCCCACAGUAGGAGGGGGUUUUGUGUGCUGGAUCUUGGGGAGAUGGAGUUGGGGGUCCCGUGGGCCACUACCAGGGGCUUGCCCAUUCACCUCCUCAGCCCCGGAGCCCCCUCGGCCCUGGAGUCUCCUUGGAUCCAGCCCUGGAGCCCCCACCUCCAUGUCACCCUCUCAGCCCUGGAGCCCCCUCGGCCCCAGAGCCCCCUCAGCCCUGAGACCCCCGUGGCCAGGGCGAUUCCUCAGCCUUGGAGCCCCCAUUCAGCCCCUGAGCCCCCUCAGUCCCUGAGAGCCCUCAGCCAUGGGCUCCCCUCAUCCCCAGAGCCCACUGAGCCCCCCUCAGUCCCUGAGAGCCCUCAGCCAUGGGCUCCCCUCAUCCCCAGAGCCCACUGAGCCCCCUCAGUCCCUGAGAGCCCUCAGCCAUGGGCUCCCCUCAUCCCCAGAGCCCACUGAGCCCCCCUCAGUCCCUGAGAGCCCUCAGCCAUGGGCUCCCCUCAUCCCCAGAGCCCACUCAGCCCCAAAGCACCUCCAACUCCGGAGCCCCCUUGGCCCUGGGCCCCCCCAGACACAACCCUGGCCCCGGAACCCCCUCAGCCCCAGGGGCCUCCUUGGCUGUCCCCCCCCUCAGCCUUGGAGCCCCCUCACCCCUAGAGCCCCUUGAGCCCCAGAGACCCCUCAGUCCUGGAGACCCUCAGUCCUGGAGACCCCUCAGUCCUGGAGACCCUCAGUCCUGGAGACCCUCAGUCCUGAAGACCCUCAGUCCCGGAACGCUCCUCAGCCCCAGAGCCCCCCUUGGCUGUGGCCCCCCCCGGCCCCAGAGUUCCCUUGGUCCCAGAGCCCUCUUGGCCCUGGAGCCCCCUCAGCCGCAAUCGCGGCCCUGAAGCCCCCCCUUGGCUGCAGAAAUUCCUCAGAACCCCCUCAGCCCCGGGGCCCCCUCAGAACGGUUCCCUGUGGAAAGCAGGAAGAUGGAGGGUGCGAACAAAGGAAUCAGUGCCCACGGUGUGCCCACCCCGUGCCCACCACUCACAUGAGCCGGUUGCGGAUGGGGCGGAAGUGUUUGUUCAGGUACUGGGUGAAGUACCGCAGCUCCUUCCUCGUGAAGCAACCGAUCUCCUAGGAAGGGGGAAGGCAGCGUGGAGGGACAGUGCCAUGAUUUCCAGCCCUGCUCCAACCACCUCCGGGCUAAUGUCAGACUUGGAACAAGAGCUGGAAGCUUCAGGUGCUCCUUCCCCUCUUGCGCUCUUUCCUUCUGGAAUUUUGUACCCCCUGAGGGCUCAUCCAGCCCCGUCUCACCUGCCGCAGGAUCUGCUGGGCUUGCACGGGCAGCCGGGCUUCCACCGAGGCCGUGGUAGCCAGUGUCCUCUUCACUCGCUCCUGGGGGGGCACAGCAAGAGCAUCCUUAGAGCAGGGAGCAGCAGGAUGGGUGCCCCGGGGUGCUGGGAGCAGGGCGUGCCAAGCCCUAAGCUGGGUCUGGUUGCCGGAGGGCAGAGAAAGAGGGAUGUGCCCCUGUUGCAGGGGGAUUUCUGAUUUGCAGCAGCAAAUCUAAUCACCAAAGGAGAUUGAUCCUCCCUGGAUGGUGUUUUUCCUGGCUCUCCCAUCACCCUGUAACUGGUGUUUUUCCUGGCUCUCCCAUCACCCUGUAACUGGUUUUUUUUGGGACACUGGCAGACAGGACCCAUAGGGCACCACAUAUUUUUUGGAGCUGGAAGAAGAUGUUGAAGUACCUUGAGAUGUGGUGCCAAGCGGGAGAGGAACUGGACGCUUUCCCCCAGCUUUGCCUGUGGGACAGUGAGGUGAGAAGGAUGAAAAAGCCUUCAAAGGGACACCACUGGGCAGUGCCAGUGGUACCACAAGCCACCAGCCUGGCACAGACUCACCACCAAAACCUCCUGUGACUGCACUGUGGAGUUUUGCAUCUGCCACAGGGCUCGGGCCUCGGCUCCCAGCCGUCCUGCCACCGUGCUGUUCCUCUGCGGGGGGACAGUGGGGUGAGGACACCCCCAUGGGCACAGAGGGGCACAGAGGGAUCCCCCAAGGACAUGGAGAGAUUCCCCACCACCCACCCUGCUGCUCACCUGCAUUUUCUGCAGCCCCUCGAGGUUCCUGGCCAGGCCAGGCAGGCUGGUCUGCACCAAGGGGUUUUUCAUCUGAGGGAAAACAGAGUCGGUGGCUGCCCAAAAUCCAAACCUGGAGGACUCUCCCGGUAUGGGGCUGCAUCCUGCUCCCUGCAGAGGGAUCCAGCUCCCCUCACCUCCUCCUGGAAGCGCCCAUAGUCCACCUCGUCCAGGCCGCUGCGGGCGAAGGUCUCCAGGUCCUGCCUGCCCUCGCUGCGCAGGAGCCGCACGUCCCCCAGGUGGGCAGUGAAGUCUCCCAGGCGUUUUUGGAAGUCAGCCGUGUACUGUGAGGGUUGGACAAGGGAUCCUGCAGGGCUGAGGCCAGGCACCUCCAUCCCAGUAACCCCAGUAAAGCUCCUGCAUCCCUGAGCCGUUACCAGCAGCUCUGGCUGGUGCCGCCCUCACCUUGGGGGUUUUCAGGUGCUCAUCCAGGUCGUAGGACCUGUCGAGCUGCAGCACCUCCCACAGCCCUGCACCGCUCUUGCAGUCCCUGGAAGGCAAAGGGAUGUUGGCAGCAUGAUCCCAAAUUUGCCCUGGAUGUGCAGGGACAGGGGUGGGCUCUUGCAGCACCCACCGGUACGUGGCACUGAGGUUGGAGUCCCUCCUCAGGUUGAGCUGGCGGGUGAGGUUCAUGGAUGGAGGGAGAUUCCCAGGGGUGUCAAUGAACUGGGCCAAACAGGAGGAAAGAGAGGGUCAGGGUCAGGCACAGGCAUUCCCAGCAAUGAUUCUGGGGGUGUUCUGCCCUCACAGUUGUGUCCUGAGGUACCUCAUCCCAUCCAGAACUAAUCUUGCCUUUAUUUGUACGGUCCCCACUGCAGAGACUCACCCAGUGUGUUCAGAGGGAAAGCAGUGGACAGCCCUGUGCUGGGACCUGUCUGCAUGUGUCCAGCCAUGGGAUGAGUCCCGAUCCCAUCCCCAAUCCCCCAACCCCUCUCUCAGCACCAUCACACCAUGUGCCAGCCCCAAGCACCCCAGAGAUCCCCAAGGACCAGGGAACAGGGAUCCCACAGGUAGCAAAUUAACAGCCUGAAGGAAAUUCCCUGCUGCUGCUGCAAAUCCAAGGACAUCAUCCUAAACUUAAUCUUCUGGUCUAGGAUGGGGCUUUUCCAGUCAGGUUUAGUGGGAGGAUUAGUGGGAGGACAAAGAGUGUUUGGAGUCAUUUUGGAGCACACAAGCAGAGAUUUAUGUGGCGACAGGUGCAUGUGUGGCCACCCACCUUAUAAAUCUCCUGGUUGACCCAAUUCCUGCAAACCAGCGUCUGGAUGUUGCCCCCAACCAGGAAGGUGGCGAAAACGAGGAGGAUGAGGAGCCAGGAGAACAGGAAAGCCAGGCCCACGCCGCUGCAGGAGGGAGAGGAGGGGGUGGGUCUGCAGCCCCGAGAGGGCAGGACCGGGGCUUGCAGGGACCUGCCCGUCCAGCUGCAGCCCCGCGGCUCCUUCCCGAGCCCGGGCACGCUGGGCUGGGAAGGGCCCUGGGAGUGGGGUGUGCCGGGCAGCGGGGCCAGGGCACAGGAGCUGCCAGCUCCCAGGGAGGAGCCGCUUCUCCCACUCCUCCCGGCGCAGGCGGUGGCAUCAAAAGCCUUUCCACUGGGCUGCCUCCCAGUUCCUCCCUGGGCUUUGCCCUCCUGGGGUUUUUUGGGGGGGAUGAGAUGGAACAGCCCCUUUGGGACACAGGGGGAUGCUUACACCAGGAGGAACUUGGCACCAGCCUCUCCUCGGCACUCGUAGUCACUCGGGUCCUCACGCUUGGAAAGCCCGUAGGCUCCCAGAGCCAUUCCCAUCACGUUGCAGGCAAGGAUGAGGAGGAUGAUGGAGCACAGCACCGUGCCCGCGAUCCACCUGGGGGGCAGAGCAGCAGGGCACAGCCUCGAGAGAGUAUCCUGUCUGUUUAAUCCUGAGAACCAGCUGAGGAACAGCUUUGUAUCACAAGACCACUAUGUAAAGGAGAGUAAGGUGCAUCACUUCAGAAAAGGAAAGGCAGCACUCAAAGUGCUUGAUCAACAACGACUUCAAAGUCUCUAAAUCCAUUAACUUGAUGUUACCACAGUUCAGUU
Molecule: long non-coding RNA, 4287 nt
Organism: Pipra filicauda (Wire-tailed manakin)
Lineage: Eukaryota; Metazoa; Chordata; Aves; Passeriformes; Pipridae
Exons: 3
Source: RefSeq, a predicted model, not a curated record